UACGUAGGUGGCAAGCGUUGUCCGGAUUUAUUGGGUUUAAAGGGUGCGUAGGCGGCUUUGUAAGUCAGCGGUGAGAUACUCUAGCUUAACUAGAGGGGUGCCAUUGAUACUGCAGAGCUUGAGUACAGAUGAGGUAGGCGGAAUUGACGGUGUAGCGGUGAAAUGCAUAGAUAUCGUCAAGAACACCGAUAGCGAAGGCAGCUUACUGGACCAUAACUGACGCUGAGACACGAAAGCGUGGGUAGCAAACAGG
Molecule: ribosomal RNA, 253 nt
Filed under: uncultured bacterium
Lineage: Bacteria
Description: partial 16S ribosomal RNA
Rfam family: Bacterial small subunit ribosomal RNA
Source: RNAcentral